UACGGAGGAUCCAAGCGUUAUCCGGAUUUAUUGGGUUUAAAGGGUGCGUAGGUGGUUUUUUAAGUCAGGGGUGAAAGACGGCAGCUUAACUGUCGCAGUGCCUUUGAUACUGAAGAACUUGAAUAAACUAGAGGUAGGCGGAAUGUGACAAGUAGCGGUGAAAUGCAUAGAUAUGUCACAGAACACCAAUGGCGAAGGCAGCUUGCUGGGCUACUCCUGACACUGAGGUACGAAAGCGUGGGGAGCGAACAGG
This 253-nucleotide ribosomal RNA is filed under the name uncultured bacterium. RNAcentral's name for it is "partial 16S ribosomal RNA". It matches the Rfam family "Bacterial small subunit ribosomal RNA", at positions 524 to 776 of the family's 1533-position model. The record is from RNAcentral.